This 1200-nucleotide long non-coding RNA is filed under the name Triticum aestivum (bread wheat). RNAcentral describes it as "long non-coding RNA (TAES_LNC016482)". Lineage: Eukaryota; Viridiplantae; Streptophyta; Magnoliopsida; Poales; Poaceae. The record is from RNAcentral.
CACACGUGUGGGCGUUAGUGUUUUCGAAUAAUAAUAAUUUGAUGAUAUGUACAUAGAAAACCAUGAGCGCACUAAUAAUUUGUUACGAAUUAAGAUUUCUACUUGAUGCGCUUAAGAUUUUCUCACACAAUAUCAACAAUGAUUUUUUCAGCUUCAUUCCCACGAUAAUAAUCAUCCUACAGAAGCAAUAUAUGUAGUUAGCAUGAAUAUUUCACAAUGAAGGUCUAAGAAUGUGCAACAGAGAAUACUCAUCGUGCAAAUCAAAGGAAGCAAUUCUUUACCGUUUCACAAGGGCAUAAAAUCAGAAAUAAAAUAGGCAGACACAUCUGCAAUUGAAUAACUUAAUAUUACCUUCAAUAUAGUAAUAACAAGAAUAAAUUUACCCGUCCACUGGAAAUUAAACAUAUAUAUAAAUAAAUCUUUUGCAGCCCAUCAUUGCUACGUAAGUGCCUAUGUCAUGUCAGUCGACAUUUUUGAAGCAUCAUCCAAAUCCAUAAGUUCUUAUAUGACUUAUAGAAGUGGAAAAUAUAAACAGUUAUUAGGAAACUAUAUAUUAAAGAUCAUGAAUUUAAAAUAUAUAUUCAAUGGUCAACGGCUAGAAAUGAACAAUGCCCAUUUUUAACUGAAUGAGUAACAUAGUGCUUUUUAGUAGAUUGAGUGGCAUCCCAAUUUCAAUAAAUUGUAGGCUCAUCUAUAAAUUACUAUUUGAUGAUUAUUCUUGGUAAUUUACUAUUUAGGGUAUGUGAUAUUCUAGCAGAAAAAAUAUGUUACAUUUCUCUAGAGAAAACAACCGAAUUUCCCUCUAUAUAAAAAACAGUCAAUUUUUCUAAAAAUCAAAUGCAGCUAACCUCUCCUUUGCUUCUUAUCUUAUUCCGCAAAAGAAAAACACAACUCACUCCUCUCACUCUCUCAACACACAGGCACAAGCCUCACUCUUCCCACCACCCCUGCCGCUUCUCCCCGACACAGCGUCGCCUCGCCUCCUUUCCCUCCUAUGCUUGGAUAUGUGGCCUCCGCUCCAUGCUCACCGCCCCCUCCCAUCCCUCAGUUGCAAUAUCUCCCCUCUCCUGCGAGCCAUGGUAUAAGCUCCGGCCAGGUCUGGUGAGCGGCGGUGAGCACACUUGGCGUGGUUAGUACCUGGAUUCGGGCUUGACGACGACUUGUGACCCCGUACGGGUCGCCCCGUCACUUAUCCCUAGC